This is a long non-coding RNA of Ipomoea nil (Japanese morning glory), 151 nucleotides long. RefSeq lists it as uncharacterized. The transcript has 2 exons. NCBI's taxonomy places the organism in Eukaryota, Viridiplantae, Streptophyta, Magnoliopsida, Solanales, Convolvulaceae. The record is from RefSeq and is a predicted model, not a curated record.
AGGAAGCACGCCAGAGCUUGCAUGGUGGAGUGGUCUACAUUCUAGAACUACUCCUUCCUUUGCAAAAAGAAGUUCCUCUACAGCAAAGAGUGGUAGCUGCCUCAUUACUGGGGAAGCUUGUUGGGCAGCCAAUCCAUGGUCCUAGAGUGGC